Molecule: ribosomal RNA, 458 nt
Filed under: uncultured bacterium
Lineage: Bacteria
Description: partial 16S ribosomal RNA
Rfam family: Bacterial small subunit ribosomal RNA
Source: RNAcentral
CCUACGGGAGGCAGCAGUGAGGAAUAUUGGUCAAUGGGCGAGAGCCUGAACCAGCCAAGUCGCGUGAGGGAGUACUGCCCUAUGGGUUGUAAACCUCUUUUGUCGGGGAGCAAAAGCCGGACGUGUCCGGCUGUGAGAGUACCCGAAGAAAAAGCAUCGGCUAACUCCGUGCCAGCAGCCGCGGUAUUACGGGGGAUGCGAGCGUUAUCCGGAUUUAUUGGGUUUAAGGGGUGCGCAGGCGGAUUGUUAAGUCAGCGGUAAAAUCGGGGGGCUCAACCCCAUCCAGCCGUUGAAACUGGGGAUCUAGAGUGUGCGAGAGGUAUGCGGAAUGCGUGGUGUAGCGGUGAAAUGCAUAGAUAUCACGCAGAACCCCGAUUGCGAAGGCAGCAUACCGGUGCACAACUGACGCUCAGGCACGAAAGCGUGGGUAUCGAACAGGAUUAGAUACCCUUGUAGUC